This is a long non-coding RNA of Triticum aestivum (bread wheat), 895 nucleotides long. RefSeq lists it as uncharacterized. The record is from RefSeq and is a predicted model, not a curated record. The transcript has 4 exons. NCBI's taxonomy places the organism in Eukaryota, Viridiplantae, Streptophyta, Magnoliopsida, Poales, Poaceae.
CAUACGCGGCCGCCGCAUCGCUCCUCCUUCUGGCACGCGCCCGUCCGCCGCGCUCAUCCUCCCGGCUACGCGCUCCGCCGCCUCGCUUCUCCAGGCAACUCCCAACGAGACGCACCGCGUGAAGCACACCCAUCUUGUCUGCAGCUUCUUCUCCCUAAUCCACCUCCAUGUAUUCCGUGGCGGAGCUUCUGGAGAUUACUAGCAGAUUUUGGGAGGCGUGGGGAGAAGAGGGAGGAGAAAUACCACUCUGCGGAGAGAGAGGAGCCAGAGUGCCAUCCGCGCGCGGUGACCACCAGGCGGAGAGAGGGGGAUCUGGGCGGCGCCCCUCCUCCGUGCGCCGCGUUCGUGCACGAGCCAGGGACCCGCGCAUCCAUGCAACACGACCUCCUCGCGUGCAGGAGUGGGGGACGCCCAGAUCCGGGUCAACGCCGCCGCGUGAUCCCAAGUGCUCCGACCAACGGAACCAGCCGCGGGACCCUUCACUCGGUCACAUGUCCGUCGCCGAGCUUGGUUGGGGUGGGCGGAAGGGAGGACGGCUGACGGACGAACGGGCGAACUGUUGACAUUCGCCGGCAACGACUCCAGUUCUCGUAUACGAACAAAACAGAGCUCAAGACGGAGUAUUGCCGGUGUACGGAUGAUAGUUUGUUCGGCAGCAUGGACCAUGCCAUGAAAUUUGUGGCAGAAAGAUUCCCAGACUCAUAUGACAAAAAGGUGCAGUACAAAUCAAUACUUACCUGCUCAUGCUGAAAGAAACAAGGGGAGAACACUUGAAAAAAGAGUUGCAAUCAGGAUGAACAAGGGUUUUGUAAAAGAGGAGGCGUCUCAGAGGGCACAUCAAGAUGGAAACUCACUUUUUAGGUGUUAGAUUCGUUGCAGCAGGGCGAGUAGGGGG